This 24648-nucleotide long non-coding RNA is filed under the name Populus tremula. RNAcentral describes it as "long non-coding RNA (PTRE_LNC002110)". The record is from RNAcentral. Lineage: Eukaryota; Viridiplantae; Streptophyta; Magnoliopsida; Malpighiales; Salicaceae.
AAACAGGCAUGCAUGUUAGUUUAUACAGAGGGUAGGAGGAGAAAAUUUAUGAAAGCUGUAAAGUCUUAAAAAUCGAACAAUUUUUUUUUAUGAGCCUCUUGGUUCACUAUGAUAUAUUUUCUUCCCAAAACAAUUCAAUGGAGAGCGCUUGUUCUUGCAUUGUAUGAACGCUUUUGUUCAGUAUGACCUUGACGCUUUUGUUGAUUGUGUUCUCCAAAAUUCAAAAAAUGCAAAAAUUUCCUAAAAAUAAAUUCACAUUUUUAUAUUUUUUUACCCUUUCGCCUUUUGUUUUCACAUUGAUUUUUUUUUUUAAAUCAAACAAUGAAAAAAUUAAAAAGAAAAUAAGAACGAGGAUAAAAAUUAAAAACAAAGAGGUAAUAAUUUAAACAUUGGAAACCUCCUCCACCACAACAUCUCCCACUACCGCCAUCUUCAGUGCCUCAUGACAACCAUCCAGUCAUCACCAACCAAGUUUCAAGCUCCUCCUCCCUAAUCGCAGCCAACAAACCCAGUAAUGCAACCCCUAUUCCCUCCAUUCACGGCAAUUUCACGACAACUUCAACACCAGAAGCCACCCACCAGCCACAAUGAUGGAAACCCUUAGCAACAAAAUCGCUUUAACAACCUAUCGAGGACCCAAACCACCACAAUAGCAGCCUUGAUUAUUAUUAUUAUUUUUUUAAAAAGAGAAAGUUGUUACAUUAGAGAGAGAAAGAAGAACGGAACUUUAGGUCGCCCGAUCUCCUUCUGUAAGCGGCAAUGAACAACACCGCCAACACAAAAACAAAGACGAAAAGGAGGCACACCUUAUAGGCGCUUCCUAGACCCGCGCAGCACAUGCAACGAUGAGCCACAACUUUUGUUCUGCACUAGCACGUGGCUUGCACGCGGCUCCAUUGCAUCUUUUUUAUCCAACCGCCUCAGCUCAACUCUAACCACCUAAUGAAUUUUUGAACAAUUUUUAAAACAUGAAAAUGAAAUGCUAACUUCUUUCUAAGUUGGAAUGGAAGAGAAGGAUAAGGCCCACUAGGCCUUCCAUUAAUAAAUUAAAGAAUUGGGCAUGAUAUUGGGCCAACCCUUAAUUAAGGAUUGAAUUCAGUUGGGCCAUGUUUCACAUGCCCAACAAGCCCGAAUUGUACCCCAUUCCAGUGAAGUCAAUUUUCCUUGUUGCUUUCCUGGUGCUUGAUUUUCUACCAGCAUUAAGUUUGUUUCCCUUUGCCACGUUACUUACAAAAGUCUUUCUAACCAAACAAGAAGGAAGAUCAUUUUCAUGGAGGUUAUUGAACCAAGAAGAGGUCAACUCCCAUUGAAGAACUCCGCUGACAAGAUGUGCAAGCUUUUGAGAGUAAUUAAGAGCAAUUGAAGACAGUUUCAGUUUCCUGGUUAAGAUUUACUGAACAAAAAUAAGCAUGGUUUAUGAAGUCAUGGAUAAGGUGUGAAAAAAUCCAUCUCAUUAACAUAUUUCUUCACAAAAAAAAGUUAUAUUAUUUUUCUCUACUUUAGGGCAUAGUUAUUAAACUCGGAUUGACCCGACGGGUUGACCUGGUGGAUGGACUGGUUCGAGUUUGUCAAAAGACCGACCAGUGAAACGUCCCGGCCAAACCAUAUCGACCUGCCAUGACCCUAUACCUCUUUAUAUAUAUAUAUAUAUAUAUAUAUAUAUAUUAGUUGGUUAUUAACAUUUUUUAAAGUUCAUUAUAUAAAUAUUAUAAAAAUAUUUUAUUUUUUCAAUGUGGAAUUUGAAACUCUUUAAUAUAUAUACUCUAUGUUUCCAAGAAAAAAGUUAUGUUUUUUCAAUGUAGGAUUUGAAACCCUUUAGUAUAUAUACUUUGUGUUCUCAAGAAAAAAAGUUAUUUUUUCAAUGUGGGAUUUGAAGCAUUUUUGUAUAUAUACACUAUGUUUACAAGAAAAAAGUUAUGUUUUUUCAAUGUGGGAUAAAAAACUUUUUGGUUUAAAUAUUUCAACUUAAACGGAUAACAUAAUAUCUUUUUAAUGUGGGAUUUGAAGCCUUUUAAUAUAUAUAUUCUAUGUUCACAAGAAAAAAGUUAUGUUUUUUCAAUAUGGGAUUCGAAACUCAUUAGUAUAUAUAUAUAUAUUCCUAUGUUCCCAAGAAAAAGUUAUUUUUUCAAUAUGAGAUUUGAAGUCAUUUUAUAUAUAUACUCUAUGUUUACAAGAAAAAAAUUAUGUUUUUUCAAUGUGAGAUAAAAAAUAUUUUAAUUUAAAUAUUUCAACUUAAAAGGAUAACAUAAUAUCUUUUAAAUAUGAGAUUUGAAGCCUUUUAGUAUAUAUAUUCUAUGUUCACAAAAAAACUUUUUUGGUUUAACUACUUCAGCUUAAAAGCAUGACAUAAUAUCUUUUUAAUAUGGAAUAAAAAACUUUUUAAAAUAUUUUUUUAAACUUCAUUAUUUACAACAUGUAUAGCCGAUAUCACAUAUAUAUAUUUUUAAUUUUUUCAUAAGAAAUAUUAAAAUUUUAAAUAAAUUUUUUUAAUUUUUUCAGGUUGAUCCAAACUGACCCAUAAAAUCCAGGAUCCGAACUGUUAACCAGAUCAACCCCAAACCAGGUUUGAUAACUUAAAGGCGUUCAGGGGUCAUUUUCCAUCUUCUUUUCCACGACUACUGAGAUGUAUACUUUUCGGAGUUUUCAGCGGAUAUUAUACGCAUCGAUCCGCCGACCAUACGAUCUGGCCCCCUAUUUGACUGAUGAUUUUAAUUUGCAGGCCCUACGAUCAUUGUCACCUUUUUCUCUACCUUGGAGGUGUUCUUGAUGCAUUUUUCUUCAUCUUAUUUCCACAACAACUACCGGAAUAUUCAACUGAUAACUUUAAUUGGCAGACACUACGAUCGGGUACCGUGUUGACUCUGAUGCUUUUCUUGUCACUAUUACAUAUUCAACGAAAUUGAGCGUUUCUCACCCAAAACCAAACAACAAUCAAGGCCAUUACUUUUCCAUUCCUGCAUUUGCUAUCCUAUUUCAAAUAAAAGACUAACAGAACUUGAUUUGUGAGAGCUUCAAUACCCUCAUUUUUAAGGCAACGAAAAGCACUUUCGCUUUGGCGGCCCAUCUGGUUUUCCUAUUAUACAACUACUUUAGAUUUUGCUGCUUGAUCUUCAGGGAAUUCGAGCUUCACAUUUUCCUUUAAGCCUCCAAAAUGUUGCCAAGUUCAGCUAGUAUUUCAUUCUUUCAGCUAUAAAGAAACCUUUACUCAUUAAUCCUCAACCUCUUUCACAUUUAUUGCAUACUUGAAUACAGUAUGGCCCGUUCUAUUUGGCUUUCGGUUUUCUAUACGGUUAUCUUGUACAUUCCUUUAAUCGCAGCCCAACAAUUUGAAUAUCGAUACCAUAUAUGUACGAAUGAUUCUACUUAUACAACGAAUAGUUCUUUCCCAUUAAACCUCAAUGCCUCUCUCUCUUCUCUCUACGAAAAUGCCUCUCGUAGCGAUGGUUUUAGCAGCAUCAGUGUCGGUCAGAAUUCUGAUAAAGUGUAUGCGCUCUUCCUGUGCAGAGGAGAUAACUCCCCUGAGUUAUGUCAGGGUUGCAUCAAGACCACCAGUGAAGAUAUCAUGAUUCGCUGCCCGAAUUACAAAGAAGCAAUUAUUUGGUAUGAUAGGUGCAUGUUACGUUACUCUAACCGUUCUAUAUUUUCUGUUACAGAGGAACGGCCGAAAGCAUGGCUGUGGAAUGUGAAUGAUAUUGGAGGUGUUAUGGAUCAAAAUCAAUUUAAUGCCAGUUUGGGAGGCUUGAUGAACCAGCUUAUUAAUCGCGCUGUGUCUUCUAGUAAUUUGUUUGCAAUGGGAGACACAAAUGGAACAGCAUUUAACAGAAUAUAUGGAACGGUACAAUGCACUCCAGAUAUAUCUCCAUCUCAAUGCAGAAUAUGCUUAUCUGGUUGCGUCAGCGAUAUUCCUAGGUGCUGUAAUGGAAAGCAAGGGGGUAAUGUUCUCACACCAAGUUGCAGUAUGAGGUUUGAAAUUUACCCUUUCUACACUGCUCCGCUAGCCCCACCCCCUCCUGCAAGUUCCCCAUCUCCGCCAACACCACCAGCAACCUCUUUAAAUCCCAGUGGUAUGCAUUUUAUUCAUUACCGCUUUUAAGACAUGAUUUCUACCAUAUUACUAAAAAACUGUUCAUUUUUAUGCAGGAGAAAGGAAGGCUUCAUCACGGACAAUUGUAUACAUUUCAGUUCCCUCUGGUGCCUUUGUGGUGCUAUUGUUCUCCUUAUGCUACUGUUAUGUGCACCAGAAAGCAAGGAAGGAAUACAACGCUAUUCAAGAGGGAAAUGGUAUAGAAAACAUAUAGAGAAAUCUACCCAAUAUUUUAUUUUGCUAUAUCGGCUGGCUUUGAACUAUUCUUUUUUUCCAUUUCCUGUAGUUGGGGAUGAAAUCACUUCGGUCCAAUCAUUACAAUUUCAAUUGGGAACCAUUGAAGCUGCUACAAACAAUUUUGCUGAAGAGAACAAGAUUGGUAAGGGUGGAUUUGGCGAUGUCUACAGGGUAAGAAGUUAAACUGACAUACUUUUCCUGAGUUAUUCAGUCGUUAAAAUCUAAAUUCCAUCUAAAUAAUGAUCCCGUUAUAUUCAGGGAACACUUCCUAAUGGACAGCACAUAGCUGUGAAGAGGCUAUCAAAACAUUCUGGACAAGGUGCAGCAGAAUUUAAGAAUGAGGUUGUAUUGGUAGCCAAGCUUCAACACAGGAAUCUAGUGAGGGUGCAAGGAUUUUGCGUGGAAGGAGAAGAAAAGAUUCUUGUCUAUGAAUUUGUUCCAAACAAGAGCCUCGACUACUUCCUCUUUGGUUUGGCUUCUCUUAACAUAUAUUUUGCGUGUGAUGCAUCCUGAUUAUUUAUUUUUCUUAGCUCCCUCCGAUUAUUUAAUUUUUUAUAUAAAUUCAUGAAGAUCCUGCAAAACAAGGACUGUUGAAUUGGUCAAGUCGUUACAAAAUCAUAGGGGGGAUUGCUCGAGGUCUUCUUUAUCUUCAUGAAGAUUCCCGUCUCCGAAUCAUCCACCGUGAUCUUAAAGCAAGCAAUGUUUUGUUGGAUGGGGAAAUGAACCCCAAGAUUGCAGAUUUUGGUAUGGCCAAGAUUUUUGGAGGGGAUCAAAGUCAAGGAAAUACCAGCAAAAUCGCUGGAACAUUGUAAGUACUUUUAAAGCCUAAAUGCAAUAUUUUGUUCAUCUACACUGCCAUAUAUUAAAUCCUUAUCUUAGAGUAUAUAUUGAAGGCAUUGAUUGUUGAUGUUAUGUUUCUGUAUCCUAUGCUGAUUGGUGGACACCCAGUGGUUACAUGCCUCCAGAGUACGCAAUGCACGGACAGUUCUCCGUUAAGUCGGACGUGUAUAGUUUCGGUGUCUUAAUACUCGAGAUUAUUAGUGGCAAAAAGAACAGCAGUUUCUAUCAAUCAGACAAUGGCCUCGACCUUGUGAGCUAUGUAAGAGAAACUUCAUUGCACAAAUUUUAUUUUAUUUAUGCUAAAACCAACGAGUAUUUUGAAAGGGGAGAAAAAGAAGAAUUUUCCAUACAUAGCUACUGAUUGUUGCAGGCAUGGAAACAAUGGAAAAAUGGGGCAGCACUGGAACUAAUGGAUGCAAGCUUAGGAGAUUCUUACUCCAGAAAUGAGAUCACUAGAUGCCUCCAUAUUGCCUUAUUGUGUGUUCAAGAAGAUCCAAACGAUAGACCCACGUUGUCAACAAUAGUUCUCAUGCUCACUAGUUUCUCUGUAACGCUACCAUUGCCUCGAGAGCCGGCCUACCUUGGGCAAAGCAGGACCGUCCCGACCUUUCCAACAACAGAGCUGGAGUCUGACCGAUCUACUUCCAAGUCGAAGCCUUUGUCCGUGAAUGAUAUGUCUAUCACAGAACUAUAUCCUCGUUAAUGCAAAGAAAAUAAUCUUCAAAACACGCAUGCAUGUUUUAGUGUAUACAGAGAAUUGGAGAAGAAAAUUUAUGAAUGCUGUAAGGUCUUAAAAAUCAAACAAUUAUUUUUUUAUGUUCCUCCAGGUGCAUUAUGAUAUAUUCUCUUGCCAAAAUAAUUCAAUGAAGAAACAAAAAAAAAAUCCAAGAAAAAAAAAAAAAAAAAACCUUUUAAACUUAUAAAGUCCAACUUAUAAAAUACUAAUAUAAGGAAGAAUCAAGUGAAUGAAGGAGGAAUUGAAAGAGGGAAAAAUUUAAUUUUUUUUUUCAGUUGACAUGAGGUUGUUAUUUUAUCCCAGUUGAGAGGUUGUUACAAUAUCGAUUCAGAUUCGAUUAUAAAUUAAUUAUAUUCUAUAAAACAUCGAAGGAUAUAUCUUUAAUAGUAAGUUUAUUUUUAUUUUUACUUUAAUUUUAUAUACUUUGAAAUUUAUUUUUUAAUAUUUUAAAUAGUGUAUUUGAAUUAAAACUUUACUGUUAACUUUAAAAAUUCAUGUAUAUAAAUUAAUAAUUUAUUUUAAAAAAUUUAUAUAUUUAUUUAAUAUCCUAGGACAGAAAAAAUUCCUAUCUUGGUCCUUGAUUUAGGCAAUAGCGUGAGCAUGCAUGACUAAAGCAUUAAAAGAGGUCUGAACCAUGCACCAGGCUUUUUUUUUUUUCUUAUAUGAAAAGGCAAAUAAUAUAUAAUCCACUCUUUAGAAAAAAAAAAAAACAAUAGAAUCAUCAUAGGUGUUAUUUACUGGCUUAGUUUUCAACAAUAAAAGAAUAGCUAGAAAGUCAAGUCAUGGGUAUUUUAUUUCUAAAAAUUUAAUCUUCAACAAACAUUUUAUUCAAAAUAUCUAAAAAACAUUAUAAGAAUUUUGAAACUCAUUUAUGGUCUUAAAUGACCCUAAAAAUAGUUCAAAAACCCCAAAUUAACCUGAAUUUAAAAACUUAUUGAGCUUGGAUCUACUAUCUUUAAUGAUGAGAAUGCCAAAGAAUAUCCUAGUUGAACUCAUCUUAUCGAAUCAAACCCAUUGACGCUAAGAUCAAACUUUUCAUGGUUGGAAUUAGUAUUAAUUGAUACUUUCUCUCUUUUAAACAUGAAUUCGAUGACUCACUCUUUUCUCUUGAAUAAAGGACUAAAAAUAAAAAUAAAAUAAAGUUUUGGACUAAAAUUGAAUAUUGAAAAAAAUAAAUAGACUAAAAAUCUUUAACUUAGAUUUUGAAAGUAAACUUUUCUCAUCAAUUUUGAAAUUGUCAUCCUUUUUUUUUUCACUUUACUCCUAUUUCUUUUAAUUUUUUUCCUUUCUUAAUAAAUGUACUUAAUUUGGUCAUCAAUUUAGUUCUAACAAUUCAAAUCAAUAAAAAAUUAUUAAUUAUUUCUUAAAAUGUAAUUUUCUUUUAUCCAUAUCUUGAUAUUAAAAUAAUUGUUAUUUUCUAACUAAACUAACAAUUCUGAAUUUGAAGUCAAUAAUAAUUUACCUUCUUCUUUAAUUUUUUUUUGUAAUUGUAAUUUACUACAGGGUUUUGUUACUCCAAGUCUUCAAUAUCCAAGUUCUGAAUUUCCAAUAAAUGUAGUAUUGUAGGUCAUCGUUAAGGUCCAACUUUUAUGAGAAAGUAGACAAAUAAUUUUUUCUUUCUUGGCAAAUAUUCAACUAGACAAGUCUUCAAACCACACAAGAAGUUCGAUGCGACAGAGUCAUUUGCUUUAUUUUGUUUUGUCGUGGCCAAUGCGUUUAAAUUUUCCACAAGGUUUUGCAGAAUUUUUGGAAAAUCUGAUUUUCCUGGAAAGUAGGGGAACAAUAAUUUUUUCCAAGGAAAUUCGGCACUCGAGAUUGGUCCGAGGAAAGCAGUCAAGAAGAGGAAAAACAUGAAAGUCACCACUUCACAUUGUGAUUGUGAUCGUUUCUCACUCACCACCACUAUUGUGCCAUGAAACUAUAAGCCAGCCCACUUGUGCAAGGUAUGUGGUUUUUGAAAUUAGAAGGAUUGAGGUAUUAUAUCACUGAAAUACAGGGACUAAAUUAUUAUUUACGUGUUUAUGAACCAGAUCGAAAAGAAUUAUCACAACUCAAGCAAUCAACCCAUCAUAAGGAUUAAAAUAUGAAAAGUAGUUUAUAAAGCAUAUUCAACCAUAAGAACAAACACCCCCAAAUUAAUUUACACGUGAAGAAAGAAAUUUUUAGAAAAUCUCAAUUCAAUUCCUAUUUGAAAGAAAAUAAGAGAAGUGGAGCGAAGGAGAGUAAUUGUUGUGUUUGAAUGGUAAGAGUGUAGGUUACUGUGAUGGAGAAGAAUAAUAUAAGAGCUAGAACGUCUCUUCUCUAAAGAACUUUGAAUGAAUGGAGAAUCUUACAACAUGGAGAAUGAAUGGUCGGAUGAAAGCAGCAUGUGGCCAAAAAAAAAAAAAAUUCCAGAAAGAUUAAUAGAAAUUAAUAACUAAAUUGAAAAUGCUAGAGAUACUUGUAACAAUUUUCACUACGAUUAGUGUUUUAUUAAUCAUUCAAUUUUAUAAUUAUAAUAAUCACAAUAUAUAUAUAAUAAAUUUUAAAAUCUUUCAUUUUAUUUAUUAAUAAAUAAAACUUAUUAAAAAAAUUAGUGCACCCUACUAUAUAUUACCCAGAAAUAUAUAUUCAAGUCAAAAUUUCUUCAAAGAAGAUUUUCAAUUCAAACAUUUAAUGCCAAAUUACACCGUCAAGAAAGCUUUGUUUUCUGAUCUAAUUAAACACAUUUAACGCUCCAAGUGCUCCAAGUAUUUGAUGGGAACACAAAUUAUAAUCGCUGUUGAUGAUUAUGUGCUGGAUCGUUUAGGGUCACUUAGUAAAGGUGCCAUGCAAAAGUAAAAGCCAAAUUUAUGACUUUGCCAAGAUGCAAGGUCCUUAACUUAGGGUGCCUCAAUAAAAUUUGAAAUGGUUUCGGAAAUUUCAGAGCUUUCUACAAUUUCUUUCACUUUUGGUGACAAAUUCGGUUUGCCCAUUAACCACAUAGUGUUCGAACUUCAGAUUCGUUUUCAAUUGGCCCCAUAACGUUUUGGAAAAGGAAUUUCUUUUCAUUGUUGAUAGCAGCCUUCAAUCGACUCAAUGCUGAAAUGUCAAGCAAUGAAUGCAAAAUUAAGUGCUUAAUUGACAAACAUGCAAGGAUGUUUCAACAAAUUUCUUUUUAUUAUAUUAAAAAAUAAUAUAAAUUAUAUUUUAAAAUUUCACUUAAUAAUUUAAAUAUUUUAAUUAAAUGAUUGCCUUACAAACGGGAAUCCAAAGCAAAGGAGACAAAAACUCUUUAAGAUAAAAUCUAAGUCAUUUAAUUUCACGCGAAUAGCCAAUGACGAAGACAUCCACCGUUUUUCCAAAUCAACAAAGACAAUUUAUUACAUGAAAAUAUCAUGUGUUUUUCACAUAUCUUGUUUGAAGUGGCUAAGGAUGCUGUGUAUCUUGAUAUAAUAGCAGCCAUGGUGUAAUUAAAUGUACUAUAUCUUUUGUAUAUAUUUUUUUAAGAAAAUUGCCAACGAAGACUACAUUCAGCGUAUAUAGCAGUGAAAGGAACAAUUUUUUUUAUAUACCUUCUAUUUUAAAAAUAUAUAAAUUCAUUCGUAAAUUAUUUUAAUGAUAGAUUUAUUUUUAUGUUUGCUAGAUUUAAGGAUAAAAUUAACAAAGGGUAAAUUCUUGUAUAAUUUUAGUAGAUAAUUCAACUAAAAUAUUUUAUGUUUGAUAUAUUCUUUCCACCACGAGUACUCUAAUUUCACAUUAUAGACGGGGGCAGCGUGUAGGUGGUCGUGAGGGGCCACAGCCUUCCAAAUUUUGCGGCCUUACAUUACAAUCCUUACACUUUAGUUUAUUUUAAUAAGGUCUUAUGUUAGCCCCCAAGAAGUUCUGCGUAUUACAUUGAAGUCCCCAUCGUUAUUCCAAAAAAAAAACAUUGAAGUCCCCAUCUUGUUCUGAACUUGCCCCUAAAAAUUACAAAGUAAUUUACCUAUCCGCAGCUACUCAUCAUACAUGUUAUUUGAUGUUAGAAGAAAAUUCUUGGACACCACAUAUCAUGAUUGGAUUGCUUGGUUCUUAAAAAUAGGUAUAGUCAUAUGUUGAUUUCUUCGAUUAUAUAUAUAUGUUGAGUGAAAAUUAACUUGUUGGAUAUAAAAUUGGAAAUUUUUACUAACGAGUCUUAUAACUAUUCUUGUAUUUAUUAUACAUUUUAACGAAUUAAUUCAUUCAAUUUAAGUUAAUUUGAACCGAAUUAUUCCACAACAUGUAGAUUGUUAACACAUUGUAUGGACAGCGCAGGGGCAAGCGCAUAGACUUGGUGUAUUUUUUGUAUUGUGAUGUAAGGUAUUUUUUAAAAGAAUAUUUUGGUAGAAAAUAUAUUAAAAUUAUUAUUUUUUAUAAUUUUUAUUUUAACAUCAACACAUUAAAAUCAUAAAAAAACAAAAAAAAAAUCAACUUUGGACUGAAGUGGAGGAUAGAUAAAUUUACAGGACGUUGGACAUUUCCCUUUAUAUUUAUUAUGUGAUUUCUUCCACAAAGACGAUUGAACUUGAAAGAAUCAGCCAUCUAAUCCAAGAAAACAUAGCAGAUUAGGAUACAAAUCCUUUCACGUUAACCAAGUUCAAUCUAUUCCACGCGUGCAUGACGAAGACAACGACCAAAGCUGCUUUUCCUCAUGGAAUACUGAGUUGGUUGAAUACUUGCAAGAAAAUGUUGUUUAUAUGCCACGUAUACCAAGUCAAAGAAGACGAUCAAUGUUCAUACCAUAAAUUUGUUUAUUUAAUUCGGAGCAUCGUAGACAAGUUUGCAAAGGAAGAGUGAGAGUAUCAUUAAGCUUAUGGCUUUUUUGCAAAUGCUUUUCCUUCUUUGUCCCAUUUUCAUGAACUUUAUUGUUCCCAAUACUGCUCAGCCUGAAAUCAACUUUCACCUUUGUGUAGUAGAGAACGGUAACUACACAGCAAAUAGCACCUACCAGGCUAAUCUCAAGUACCUACUCAACUCUGUUUACAGUAACACAGAAAUCGAUUACGGGUUUUACAAUUUCUCUUACGGAGAAAGUCCUGACAAGGUUUAUGCAAUUGGACUCUGUCGAGGAGAUGUCAAGCCUGAUGCUUGCCGCGACUGCCUCAAUUCAAUUAUUCUAGCCUGGCACUAACUUCACUCUGUCAAACCCAAAAGGAGGCUAUCAUAGGUUUGGACAAUUGUAUAUUACGAUACGCAAGCCGUAACAUAUCUGGCCGCAAUGAAGUUGCCCCAUACUUUUUCGUGUACAGCUUAACAAAUGUCUCGGACGAAAAAGGAUUCAACAGGUCUUUGAAUAGCUUGUUGGAUAGCCUACAAGAUAAAGCUGCAGCUGGUGAUUCUCGUCGUAAGUAUGCAACGGGAAAAAUCAGUACUAAUGCACCAAACUUUCAGACUAUAUAUGCACUUUCGCAGUGCACUCCUGAUUUGUCACAGGCAGAAUGCAGUUCCUGCCUCCGAAAUGCUUCCGCACGUGUUGGACAAUGUUGCCAGGAAAGGCAAGGAGGAAGAGUCAUUUAUCCAAGCUGUAAUUUUAGGUACGAGAUUAACCAAUUCUAUGAAGUCCCAAUUGGUGAAGACCCAUCUCCUCCUCCAUCGAAAGGUAUAUAUCCUGAAAAGUUUAGCAUCAUUGUCUGCCUUAAUUUUUUAAAUGCUGUGAAAAUGUCUAGCUUGUACUGUUUCCAGUUAUUAGACUAAUUCCUGUGAAAUGACAUUAGACAUGUGUUAUAACUGGAUAAUUUCAUGGAUUUUGCAGGAAAAAACAAUACAGUCAUCAUCGUCAUCAUUCUUUCAGUUGUUAUUUCUGUCAUGGUGAUUCUUAUCAUCAGCUUCUACACGUUUUCAGGAAAGAGGAAAUCAAGAGAGAAAGUUAAAAGUAAGACAUAUUUUUUCUUUUUUGUUCAUCUGGAAGCCCAUUAGGUCUUGGACUAUAUAUUGAAUAUUUUAUUUGGCAUUUCAGAACAACUUUUUCCCUGGGCGGUUAAAGAUUGAUUUCUGAAUAUUCAAUUCCUUUGUUCAAUUCAGCAACUGCUUAAGUUUACGCCACAUAAGAAUCUGGUUCAAUUCAGUAGUUUUUUUUUUUCUCUCUCCUACUUGCUGCUUCAGGUGGAUCAGUGGAUGAUGAAAUUACCAGAGUGGAAUCCUUGCAAUAUAACUUAGAAAUCAUUCACCUUGCAACAGAAAAUUUUUCUGAAGUUAAUAAGCUUGGACAGGGUGGAUUUGGUUCUGUGUACAAGGUACGAAAUAUCAAAAUGUUAUAUAUCAAUUAGCAUCCAUCAAAAAUGAGUUGACUGUGUUAAUAUAUAUAUAUAUAUAUAUAUAUAUAUAUAUAUAUAUAUAUAUGCUAGAGAUAUUGAUGUUUUUACUAUAUUUAUUUUGCUAACUAAUGAGAAUCGAAUUCUUCGAAGGUUAGUUUCAAGCAUUCCUACAUGGUUGUGGUCAUAACUCCUAACACCCUUGUUGCUUUCAGGGUACCCUUCCCAACGGACAAUAUAUAGCCGUGAAGAGACUAUCUAGGGAUUCCACGCAAGGAGAACAAGAAUUCAAGAAUGAAGUCCUGCUGGUGGCCAAACUUCAGCACAAGAAUUUGGUUAGGCUCCUAGGCUUUUGCUUUGAGCAAGAGGAAAGGCUUCUUAUCUACGAGUUUAUGCCUAACUCAAGCCUCAACAACUUCAUUUUCGGUACGGCCAUGCCUCCUCUUCCAAAACAUUUCGAUGGAGAUUACUGUCUAAAAAUAGAAAAAAGAGAAAGAACUAAUUCCUGCAAACAAAGCACAAACCAGCAGUUCCUUUAUUAAAGCAUAGUACUUUUUGAUUCAUCUAACUGCCAUAGUUUACUGAAUUUUUAGAUCAAACCAAGCGUUCACAAUUGGACUGGGAACGACGUUACAAGAUCAUAGAAGGCAUUUCUCGAGGACUUCUUUACCUUCAUGAAGAUUCUCGUCUCCGGAUCAUUCACCGUGACCUGAAACCUAGUAACAUUUUGUUAGAUGCAGAAAUGAAUGCUAAGAUAUCAGACUUUGGCAUGGCAAGGCUGUUUGCAGGGGAUCAAACCCAAGAAAGUACAAGCAGAGUUGUUGGAACCUUGUAAGUGUAUAUCAGAAAUCAGGGAAUACCAAAGUUCCUUUGGUUAAUUUUCUUUCUAUUUGACUUGAACUAAAAGAAUGCAAUAACAAAUUAUUAUUUGCAGUGGAUACAUGCCUCCAGAGUAUGUAAUGCGCGGACACUUCUCUGUCAAAUCGGAUAUCUUUAGCUUUGGUGUGCUUGUUUUGGAAAUUGUAAGUGGUAGAAAAAGAACUUGUAUCAAUGAGGAGGAGGUGGAAGACCUUCUGACAUAUGUGAGUAUGAUACUGUCUGACUUGCAUUUUUCUUGAUCCAGAUUGCCAGGAAAGACAUCGAGCAAAGCACUUUCCUUCUAACACUCUGCUGUUCUUUUCUUAAAAUUUUGCAGACGUGGGAAAAUUGGAAUAGCGGACCAAAUUUAGAUAAGCUGAUAGAUCCGACAUUAAGGGCUGCCUCAAGAAAUGAAAUGUUGAGAUGUAUCCACGUUGGUUUACUAUGUGUGCAGGAAAAUGCACUUGAUAGACCAAACAUGGCUUCAGUUGUUAUCAUGCUAAGUUCUUACUCCGUCACUCUUCCAGUACCUCAGAAGCCUGCAUUUUUUGCUCGUAAUACGGUACUGCCUGGGACAACAUCAACUUGGACCGAGUCUGAUCAAUCCCGAAGUGCAUCUGUCCCAUGUUCAAUCAAUGAGGCUUCAAUCUCUGAGCUCUACCCUCGGUAGAGUUUGGCGGAUGGAGGUCCACCGUUAAGCAUGCUAUAGUUUGUUCUGUAUCUCAGCACUAUUCUCUUGCAUUGCAAUGCUUGAAGUGUUUGCCUUUUCCUUUAAUUUUUUUUUGUUGGAUUGCUGAAAUAAAAGCAUUUUAUAAUAUUAUAAUAAAGUGUUGGGAAGUGAGGUAAAUUGUUGUUUUCAAAAUAUUUUUUAAUUAAAAAUAUAUUAAAAUAAUAUUUUUUAUUAGUUUUUAAAAUUUAUUUUUGAAAUAACAUACUAAAACAAUCCAAAAAUAUAUAUAAAAAAUACUCUUAACAAAAAAAAAAAAAUUGACCAACCUUUAUUUGUGCCUUACUUCCAAACAUGGUUUAAUCUUUUUUUAACAAUUUUGUACUCAUUAUUAGUUAGAUAAAUUUAGAAUCCAAAUAAGAUUUGAGGAUUUUAUUUAUUUUUCUAAUUUUGAUUGAAACUAUCAAGUUAUAUCAUAGAAUCAUGAUAAGACAAUUCUUAUAAAAAAUAAUCUUAAACUAAGACUUGGUAAUGAGUUAAGGAAGAAGAAUUUCAAAUUAACGUAGAUUAAGUUUAAUAAAAACACUAAAUAAUAUAAAUAUUUUUUAUAUUAAAAAAAAUCUAAUUUAACUUGUAUCAUAGCACGGAAAAGAAAACUAAUUAGAAUCCAAAUAAGAUUAUGGGCUUUCUUCACGGAGCUUCGGGCAUAGAAGUUCGGAGUUCAACUUUUGGGGUAUGGGGCUAGUGCUAGCUGGACCAGACGAACUCUUUAGGAGGGCCAUUUUUACUGAGAUGAGACAAGGAAUACCCCAUGAACUCGCCAAGUGAUAAUCCUUAACCCAAAGCCUGUAUAAUGACUGUGGGUUUCUCUAGGACUAGAUAUCAUGCCCACAAAACCAAGCCUGCAUGCAGAUUCUUGGACUGGCAGUUGGAAUCGAGGAACAACAUUAAAAAUGAUGGAUCUUUUCAUCGCAAGGGCUGUUCCAAGGAGAGAUAAUAUUGAUAAGAUUUGAGCCCCAGGACAGCCGUUUUGGCAGGGUUCUUUUUUAUCUUCCCAACUUGGAUUCAAGUUUUAGUGUGCAUGUUUAUCACUUCCACGAUAUUUUACUUGUUUGCUAGAUUUGUAAAAUGUUCAGUGAGUAAGAGAAUUAAUCAUGGUACGUGUAAAUUGAUCUAAAUAUUCGGGUUAUAAAAAACAAAUAACCCGAAGCAGGACCGGCAUAUUGUGUGCAAAGCAGGACCGGCUCGAGCUUACCAAUAAUAGGGCUGGAGUCUGACCGAUCUUCUUCCACGUCGAAGCCUUUGUCCGUUAAUGAUAUGUCAAUCACAGAACUAUAUCCUCGUUAAUGCAAAGAAAUGAAUCUUCAAAACAGGCAUGCAUGUUAGUUUAUACAGAGGGUAGGAGGAGAAAAUUUAUGAAAGCUGUAAAGUCUUAAAAAUCGAACAAUUUUUUUUUAUGAGCCUCUUGGUUCACUAUGAUAUAUUUUCUUCCCAAAACAAUUCAAUGGAGAGCGCUUGUUCUUGCAUUGUAUGAACGCUUUUGUUCGCUAUGACUUUGACGCUUUUGUUGAUUGUGUUCUCCAAAAUUUAAAAAAUGCAAAAAUUUCCGAAAAAUAAAUUCACAUUUUUAUAAUUUUUUACCCUUUCGCCUUUUGUUUUCACAUUGAUUUUUUUUUUAAAUCAAACAAUGAAAAAAUUAAAAAUAAAUAAAAACAAGGAUAAAAAUUAAAAAACAAGAGGUAAUACUUUAAACAUUGGAAACAACAAGAAUUCACAGUUUUACCGACGGAAAUAUUACGUCGGUGUGUGAUUAAUAGUACGUCGGUAAAUUUUUUACCGACUACAUUACCGGCGAAAUACGUCCGUCAGCUUACCUUUCGUCGUUGAUUCCACAUUCCGUCGCUAUGUCGGUUAGAAAAACAAAAAAAUCAUUUACCGACAGAAUAUGCGUGCCAAAAAAAAGUUUCCCGCUUCAAACAUACCGACGGAUUGUUAUUCCGUCCGUGACAUCACAAGUCACCGACGGUUUAUUUCCGUCGGUAACUUAGUCGGUGAAUUAUUGAAAUACCGACAGAACAUACCGUCUGUCAAUUCGUCGGUAAGUUAUAAUACCGAUGGACUUAUUCCGUCGGUAAAUCUGUUGGUGAAUCAUGAAAACACCGACCGAAUUUAUCCGUCUGGAAAUUUGUCGGUCAUGGCCGCGGCUACUGUCUAAUACCGACGGACGUAAUCCGUCGGUAAAUCCCUUUGUAAUUAUUUUUUUAUUUUUUAUAAUAUUAUAGAAUACAUAAUAAAAUGAUAUAAAUUAAUGGUAAUAAAAACCAAUUAUGCAAAUAAAUUUAUAUUAAGCAUCAAAAAAAAAAAUGAAAGAUAAAUAAUAUUCAUUACAAAAUGAAAUGUUUCAAAAAAACAUUAAAUGAAAUUUUAAAUGUAAAUAAUGUUUAUUAAAAAUUAAUAAAGGAGGAUGAGGAGGAUCAGGAGGAGGAGGAGGCUGGCUAUUAUGCGGCCAAAAAGGAUUGGGUGCACAUGUUCCACCUUGUGCCAUGUUCAUGACCAUUUGACGAAGCUCUUCAUAGGCCGCUCUUUGUUGUUCAGAAUCUGCUCUGUAUUGUUCUUUGAGUUGUGUGUACGCCUCUGAUAGGUGGUCGCACUUUUGCUGCAAGGCCACGAACUCCUUAGAUUGGGAGCUCGAUACUGAUUGGGAGCUCCCGACGGUUGAAGCAGUACGGGUCGUCGCAAGUUGUCGGCCGUAGUGGAGAGCCCGUAAACCCGAUUCUUAUCGGGUCCACCUGACGAUCCAGCCUCCAUCCACAAAUCAGGAUCGAAUUCCGGAUGGGUUGAAGGAUCGUCCCCGUAUAUCUCCCUCAACCGAUUAUUAUAGGUCUCCUGAAAAUAAUAAAAAUAUAAUCAUCAUAUUCAAUUCAAUAAACAUAGCGAUAACUUACAAAAUAAAAUGAUUGAACAAACAUACCAUAAAAUAUUGAGCACGGCUGUCAACGAACUGUUACACCCCCUUUUGGCGGUUUUGACUCCUCACGUGCGUCUCCACAAACAGCUCCAUAGGGCUCGGCUCAUGUCCAAGCGAUGUAGCCUAUAAUGAAAAAAAUUCAUUAACAACAAAUUAAUUGAACAAUAUAUAUUUCAUUUAAAUUAAUCUUACCAUCCGUUUCGCAUGUGCAGCAAACGAAACGGAGCCGCCGGUGUGCGUUGUCACCGAGCCAUGAAUUGGUCGAUUCCGGUUGCCAGCACCAGACUGUGAGCGUCGUGUGAAUCGCUCAGACGUCACGUGCUAAAGAUAGUGUGGCCAUAUAUCUUCGGGGAUGUAUAUCGAUUUGAAAUCCCUCUAAACCGCAACAUUGUUCCAGCCUUGGAACCCCCUAUCCCUCGCAGUUUUUUUUGCCUUUUUUUGGGCUUCGUACCAAAAAUCACGCAACCUACUUCACGCAAGAAAAAAAUACAUUUCGAAAAAUAAAUUUUUUUGUAAAAAAAAAGUUGUAUUGUUUUCGAUGUUACCUAGUUGCCGCGUGAUUUUCCCAGACCCUCCUCACAACAGUAUUAUGUUCCUCGUUCCAGCAGAAUCGAUUCUGUGUAUAAAAAAUAAUUUUUUAAAAUGUUAAUAAUUUAUUUAUAGUUAUAUUAAGAAUUUAUUAGAAAUAAACUGAAAAUUAUAUAUUAACACGAACCUGAAAUCUGGAAAACCAUGCAUUGAUUUGAGGCAUCCAUUCAGGAUGCCUGGAUAUCUGACUCCAUUGAAACAAUGGAAUCUCCAUCGAAGAUUUAAACGCUGAUGAUAUUACUCGGGCGGCCUCAACGUUUGUGAACCUGAAAAGAAAUGAAAUUAAUUAAAUAGUGACUUCAUAAAUUAUGUUUUAAAUUUGUUUGUUUUUUUAAAAAACUAAAACCUUAACAAACUUACAUUGAAAGAUCGUCCUUCCAUUGUGCCUCGUACUUGCGGGACCAUCGAUUCCGCUGUGAAGGCACGCCGCUUCUGCGAUGUGAAACAGAGCUGGAAGAGGCAACAUUAGCUGACGGCGCAAGUGGUAUAGGUGCCUCAUCUUAAGAGUCACCUAAGGAAAUAUCUUCCUCGCUGCUAGACGAACCUGAUGCGUUCGGACGUGAAGCUCUGGUUUUCAUUCUGUGCAUCUAACCAGUUUUAUAUAAAUAAUUAUAUACUUAAAUUCAAACGUAAAGAAAAAUUCGGCAGCACCUCCCCUAUACUGGAUACUACCCAAAUUCACAAACCUGCAAAAUUUAACAAUAGCCACAACCAAUUGACCCAAUCUAUACUAAUUAUUCCAACAUAUUCAAUUACUAAUCCUAAGGUAAAUUUAACAUUAACAAUAACAAUUCAACAAAUUAUUCAAUAAUUAUGCCAAUACAACAAUAAAAUAUAUUCAAUAAAUUAAAAAAGAAUUAUAAACUAACAAUUAAAAUCAAUGGAAACAAUUAAACACAAAUUAUGCAAUAAUAGAGUAAAAUUACUAAGUAUUCCAACAUAUCCAAAUACUAAUUCUAAGGUAAAUUCAACAUUAACAAUUAUAAUUCAACAAAUUAUUCAAUAAUUAUGGCAAUACAACAAUAAAAUAUAUUCAAUAAAUUAAAAAACAUUAUAAACUAACAAUUAAAAACAAUGAAAAUAAUUAAACACAAAUCAUGCAAUAAUAUAGUAAAAUUACUAAUUAUUCCAACAUAUGCAAUUACUAAUUCUAAGGUAAAUUCAACAUUAACAACAAAUAUUCAACAAAUUAACUAAUAACAAUUAUGCCAAAACAACAAUAAAAAAUAUUCAAUAAAUUUUUUUAAAAAAACUAUAGACUUUAGGGAAGAAAUAUGCAUACCUUAAUAAUGUGUUCAAACAAAACAUUUAUCUACAUUACAAAAAAAUACACCAAAACAAAAAACAUAAAAAGCAUAAAAAUAACUAUAAAUAAAAUAAAAUAGAAAAAAACACAUACCUUUUAAUGUGAUGAAGAUUCACAACCAACUUUGCUAGAGAUUCAACAAAGCUUGAAAGCUUGAAGAUUUGAAAGAAAAAAUCAAAAUUUUCCUUAGAAAUGGAGGAGAAGAAAAAAUGAACUGAAAGGGCGGCUGGAUGAACUUAUAAUGCGGAUUCACCGACGGAAAUAAAAAAUUAUUAUUAUUUAAAUUAAAUCCGUCGGUAAUUUUUGAAUUUCGCAUCGAAUUUUUUUAAUUACCCUCCAUAUUUUCGCGGUCCGUCCGUGAUUCCGUCGGUAAUCUGACACGGUCUGCGCUGCCAUCAAUUCACACCCUUUGGAAUUCGCACAUUCUGUCGGUAUUUUUGUAGGUAAAAUUGCCCACCGACAACUAACCGACGGACUUAUUUCGUCGGUGUAGACGUCGAAAAAGUCGUCGGUAUAGCCGUCGAUAAUUGUGGCAUUUUGGUGUAAUUAUUUUCAAACUCUUUGUGAGAUACCGACGGACAUCAUUUCAUCGGUAGGGCCGUCGAUUAUUAUGGCAUUUUGGUGUAAUUAUUUUCUAACUCUCUGUGAGAUGUCGGCGGAUGUCGGUCUGUUGGUAUCGUCGUCGGUGAUUGUGGCAUUUUCAUGUAAUUAUUUUCGAACUCUCUGUGAGAUACCGACGGACGGCGGUCCGUUGGUGUUGACGUCGGUGAUUUUUCAUUGUACAAGACAUGUUGUGUUUGUAUUUUCUAUUUACCAUUCUGCAAAAAAUUCAAUGAUAAACUGUCCAUUGUACAAAACAAUAGCAACAAUGCUUAAACAUUAAAUAUAUAUUUCGUGUUACAAAAUAUAUCAUCCAUAGUGUAAAUUACAUGAAGAAAAGGGUCUUACACAAGGCUUCGUUUUGAUAGUUACUCAGAAUUAUCUUCUUCUUCGUCAUCAAUUGAAUAGUCAUCACCUUCAUCGCAAUCUUCAAUAUGGAUAUCAUCUUCUUCAUCGACAUUUGCUUAUCCGCUAGAGCUCAAAACAACGUUUAACUCCUCUACGUCAACAUCAACAAGACUAUCAUCGAAAACACGAAAAUUUGUAUUUUCUUCCAAUUCAAUUGAAGGAGCAACUCGAUAUGGUUCAACCAACUCACUAACUUAAAAGACUUCAUCCGGCACACUUGUGUCUUCGUUCUCGUCCUGAGCAACCUCGACACGACCCCGUGGUUUCGUUUUUAAAACGGACAACCAAUCAACUCUUGAUCGAUCCUUUCUAAAUGAAGGGGUGUAUGUGUAAUAAACUUGUUGACAUUGCUUUGCGAAAACAAAGACAUCGUUUAUGUUGCGGAGUCUAGCUUUUGAGUUGAUUUCGACCAGACCAUGGUGCGGAUCAACUCUGAUUCCUCUGUCCGUCGUGUCAUACCAAUAGCAUUUGAAUAAAAACACUUUAUUCUGCUCGCUAUGAUAUUGCAGUUCGACGACCUCUUCUAAUCUACCAUAGUAGUCAACUUCUAACUCACUUGUGGAUCCCUUAACACAAACACCGCAGUUGUAUGUCUUUCUUCCUUGCCCGUAUUCUUCAGUAUGGAAAACAUAUCCAUUGACAAAAUACCCGUUGUAGCACUUAACUUUUCUUUCAGGCCGAGGCUUAGUGAAGACAAUGACUUCGCUCCUUCCCAUUUGAUAAACCUUGUAAAUAUGUAAUAAAUGUACAUCAAUAACGGUAAAUGAACGAGAAUCUCGUAAUGACAUACGUACAUACAAGUUAGAAUGAGUUUGUGAUAGUGCUUACAUGUGUUCUGAACCAUGUGGCAAAUUGUUCAUCUUGUAAUUGAAAGAUCUGGGAUUCGGUCAGCUGCGAGUUAUUGGAGAGCAAAUAUUGUCGAUGUUGCCUGCAAGUGAUAAUGAGUGUAUGAUAUUACAAUAUAUAAUUAGUAUAUUACUGACAAAGUUUAAUUAGUAUUACACAUAUAUAACUUACUGAAUAAAUGGUCUCAGCUCAUCACAGUUAAAUAGAACAUAGUUGUGUGCUUGUUUGAAUUCUAUUUCCGACAAAUAUCUUCCUCUUACGGCAUUUUUAGGUGUGGGUCGUCCAGUAUUGGAGAAUAUUGACAAGUUCCCACUGGAAGGCACUUCACCGCCAUCGUCAUGCCGUGGAACGCGAUUGAUUCUUGUUCUCAGAUGAGGUUCGAAAUAGUACGAGAUAAAUGUUGAUAUCUCUUCAACAAUAUAGGCCUCAGAUAUCGAAGCCUCAACAUGCGCCUUGUUCUUAACCUUUUUUUGAGAUUAAACAAGUACCUGCAUUGAAUUACAAUUCAAGUAUUUCAAUUAAGAAAAACAUAGAAAAUACUUUAAGAUAUGAAUUCCAUUGCAACUGUAAUAUCACCGUUCGAAUGGGUACAUCCAUCUAUACUGGACCGGUCCUCCAGCUUUUGCCUCGAACGGUAGAUGUAUAGGGAGAUGCUCCAUUGAGUCAAAAAAUGAAGGAGGGAAUAUCAUCUCAAGUUUGCAUAGUGUCUCGAUGAUAUUCGUUUGAAGCCUCAAUGUGCUCAACAUUCAUCUUGCUGGAGCAUAUAUCUCUGAAGAAAUGACUGAUCUCCGUUAGUGCAUCCCAUAUUCCCUUUGGCAACAAAUCACGAAAAGCUAAUGGGAUGAGUGUUUGCAUAAACACGUGGCAGUCAUGACUCUUCAUUCCAUACAAUCUGCAGUCCUCUAUGUUAACAAGCCUUGAUAUGUUCGAUGCAUGUCCAUCCGGAAAACGCAGACUCUUAAGCCAUUUGUAGACUAGCAGUUGUGCGUUUUUCUCUAACACGAAGCUUGCCCUUGGUUUUGCAACCCGUGACUCCUCAUAAACCAACUCCAUAUUUUUACGGUUACAGUAUAAAGCUAUAUCCAAUCUAGCCUUCAUGUUGUCCUUUGUCUUCCCCUUCACAUCCAUGACGGUGUUGAAAAUAUUCUCAAACACGUUCUUUUCGAUGUGCAUGACGUCAAGGUUAUGGCGGAGAAGAUUAGUCUUCCAAUACGGAAGCUCCCAAAAGAUACUUCGCUUUACCCAAUUAUGGGUCAAACCAAAACCAGGAAACUUUUGCUUACCUGAUUGAAGGCCAAACACAAUGUCACCGUACUCUGAUACAACAUGAUGCAAUUCUUCACCAGAAAGACGCGGGGAUGCAACAUCUUUUUCAACUCUACCAACAAAGAAAUCUUUUCUGUUCUUUCUGAACCUGUGAUUAAGUGGCAAGAAGCGACGGUGACAGUCAAAAAAAGAAGCUUUACCUCCGUUUGCUAGCGUGAAUGCCUUGUUGUUUUCCAUGCAGUAUGGACAUGCGAGUUUCCCAUGCGUGCUCCAACCAGAAAGCAUUCCAUAAGCUGGAAAAUCAUGAUAGUCCACAUCAAAGCCGCCCUCAUAAGGAAAUUUUGUUUCCUCGAUAUAUCAUAAGUCAGAGAUCCGGAGGACCACAACUGCGCCAGCUCAUCAUCAACGGUCGAAGACAAACAUCUAUAUUCCGCCCCGGGCUGCUUGGACCGGGUAUGACAGUAGAUAAAACAUGAACUCCGGCCUCAUACACAUUCCCGGUGGCAAGUUAUAAACUGUGAGUAUGACCGGCCAACAAGAAUAGGGAGCAGCAAAUGACCCAAAUGGGUUGAACCCGUCUGUACACAACCCAAGACGACAUUCCUUGAUUCAGCUGAAAAGUCAGGAUGACACUGUUAAAGCGUUUCCACGCUUCGCCGUCAGAAGGAUGCACCAUCACACCAUCAACGCAUCAUGUGUUUGGUGCCAUGUCAUGUGCUCAGCAGUCCUUGGUGACAUAAUAACCUCUGCAGUCUAGGUGUGAUCGGGAAAUAUCUAAGUUUUUUAUACGCCACUAGAGUCUUCCCCUGCCAGUUCUGGGUUUGUAACGGGAAUGCCCGCAUGUCAUGCACUCGGUCAUCUCAAUUUUCAAGGUAGUAUAACAUGCAGAAGUUAGGGCACAUGUCAAUUUUCUGGUAUCCUAAACCGAGGGGUUUCAUCAUGGACUUCGCAGCAUAGAAGUUCUCUUUGAGCCUGUUCCCUUCAGGUAAAAUGCUUCUUGCCCAAUCAAUAAUUUUGUCAUACCCGGCCUCACUCAACCCGUGAUCUGACUUGAUGGUGAACACCUGUGCCACGCCGAUAAUUUACUGUGGUUUGUGCAGCCAUCCCAUAAUGGUUCGUCAGAAUCUUUCAACAAAUCAAAAAACCUAGCUGCCUCUGCAUUAGGUUCUUCUUCUACGAUUGGACAUUGAUUGACAUUACUUGAUUCAUUCUCAUUGCAUCCAUAACCAUGUUUCUGUAAGGAUUAGUGUUGUCAUUUGCCGCUUCAUGCACGUUGCUAGCACUAGAAGUUGACCCAACCACCGUUUCUCCAUUCUCCUAUUACUAACAAAUACCUCUCCAUGUGCAUACCAACACUGUAAUCCUCCACAAAACCCUUUGUGUAGAAGAUGCAUCAUUACAACAUCUGGAUGCAGAUACUUUUUAUUUUGACACUUCCUGCAUGGACACCUAAUACCGCCUCCAGUAAAAUUUAUGGGAAUAGAUGUUGCGAAAGUAAUAAAACCCUGAACCCCAUUACAAUAAUCCAUCAUCCGCAAUCCUUAAGGUGAAUCUAGAUACAUCCAUGACUUCUAUCGAACCUCUAUAAAAUUAUGAUGACAUCAUGUAUUAAUUAACUAAGUUAGGUAAAUAAACUUGCAAAAAUAUUACUUUACCUCGAGAUUAUCCAACAAACCAAUCACAACUUCUCAUAAAUAUUAAAUAUUCAUUAUCAUUUAUCAACGUCCAUACAAAUUAAUAUAUAUACUAAAAAAACACGUACAUCUACUAACAAAAAUACAUAUACUAAAAAAAACAAUAAAUUUGACAUUUAAAUGUUAAAAUUUAAAUAGAUAGAAUUACUUACAAAAAUUGAUAAAAUCCGUCGGUAAAUCAGAACACGGAUGCUGUGACCACAAAACUUCAAGAAAUACAACUUGUUGUGCUGAGAUGAGCAAGAUUGAGCAAGAUUUUUAUUUGGGGGAGAGGGGGGGCUGGUUAUUUGCAGAUGGGGAGAGUUAGGAUUAGGAAGAAAAAGGAGAUAUGGGGGAGGAGAGUGUCGGUAGAGUGGCCAUAUAUAUACUUUUUCCGACAGACUCACCGACAGAAUAACACCAUCGGUGAAUACGUCGGAGACUAUAUCCGUAAUUCUGACGGGAAAUUGCUUUUUAAAUCCCUCAGUAAUUCCGUUGGUUUUUUUUACGGUGCAACGGUCACGUCACCGGCACAGAUCUGACAUUUCAAUUCCGUUGGUAUUUUGAACGGUGAACCGGUCCCGGGUCAACCGAUUUGAAUCCGUUGGCAAUUCUGUCGGAAAAAUCACCCGCCAAACCUCCACGUCAGCUACCCACCCUUUUUUCAUUAAUUUUGGACUUUCCGUCCGUAAUUCGGUCGGUAAUUAUCGACGGAAUAAACAUGUCGGUAAUUACCGACCGAAUUACGAAUGGAAAUAUUUCGUCGCCAAUUUCGCCCGAAAAAUACCGACGGACCAGAAAAAGUCUGUCGGUGAUUCCAUUGGUAUUAAGCGAAUUUCUAGUAGUGAAACCUCCUCCACCACAACAUCUCCCACUACUGCCAUCUUCAGUGCCUCAUGACAACCAUCCACUCAUCACCAACCAAGUUUCAAGCUCCUCCUCCCUAAUCGCAGCCAACAAACCCAGUAAUGCAACCCCUAUUCCCUCCAUUGAUGGCAAUUUCACGACAACUUCAACACCAAAAGCCACCUACCAGCCACAAUGAUGGAAACCCUUAGCAAUAAAAUAGCUUUAACAACCUAUCGAGGACCCAAACCACCACAAUAGCAGCCUUGAUUAUUAUUAUUAUUAUUUUAAAAAGAGAAAGUUGUUACAUUAGAGAGAGAAAGAAGAACAGAACUUUAGGUCGCCCAAUCUCCUUCUGUAAGCGGCAAUGAACAACACCGCCAACACAAAAACAAAGACGAAAAGGAGGCACACCUUAUAGGCGCUUCCUAGACCCGCGCAACACAUGCAACGAUGAGCCAAAACUUUUGUUCUGCACUAGCACGUGGCUUGCACGCG